This 8490-nucleotide long non-coding RNA is filed under the name Xyrichtys novacula (pearly razorfish). The record is from RNAcentral. Lineage: Eukaryota; Metazoa; Chordata; Actinopteri; Labriformes; Labridae.
ACAUCAUUCAUGCAUCAACUAAGUCAAAUGUGCGUCUGACAGAAGGUCUGUUCAAAGACUCUCAGAGGAACGUCUGCUUCCUCACAACAAGCGUGAGCAGGUUUCAUAAGUCUGUUUUUUUUUUUUGCAUAAAUUCACAUGUUCUGACUAACUACCCUGAGCGUGAGGAGAGCUCCUCCAUUUCGACUCUAAUGGUCCAUCGUGUGCUCAUUUCCAUUUCAGAUCCACACAACCUGAUGACAAAACUCUCCUCCUGAACUUGACGUCUAACUUUCCCGUAUCGUUAAAGUUGUGAAGUGGACGACCCGCGCACCCUUCGCCCACAGCCCCUCCUUACAGCUUCAGAUCCCCUGAACCCUCCCCUCAGUGUGGGUUCGACUAAACAAUGUACCAGCAGAUGCUUUUAUGAAAACAGCAGUCUGAAAAAAAACAACAAAGAGGAAAAAUUAACAGUUUCAACAAUAACAUCCAUACAGCAGAUCUCCCAAAGCCAAAUCCAUCUGCCAAAAAAAGACCUUUUCACCCAGCAAUGCUGCAAAUGUGUCUUUUCAUCUAGAUCUCCAAAUCCAUUGGCUGUGCUGGAACUAAAAUAAGACCCCUGCUAUGGCUGCCAAUGUUUCAGAGCUGAUUCCAGGCCUGCUCCUUUUUCUCCUUUUCACACAGACUGUUCUGCUGCAUACGACUAACACCAACACCGGGCCAAAACUGAAAAAUAAUGAUAAAAAAAACUGAGUAUGUUUCAGUAUCAGACUGAUUUCUGCCUGAAAACAAUCUCAGAUCAGGAACCAUCUGGGGAUCUCCUGAGAUUACCGUGAAGUUUGAGGACUUUGGUUUGUAAUAAACGACUUUGAAGACUCCACCCAAACACAACUCACCUACUCUCUUCCAGCACCUGCUAGUUUGUAGCAAGACCUCUGGGCCAGUCCAUUACGGACUACAGUGGUGUGACACAACUCAAGGAAGAACAUUUAUGAUCAUUUCUUCAUGGAAAUGCAAUCAGAUCGAGAUGCUAAGGCAGAAGAACUACCGCGUCUGCAGUGCAAAAUGAUUAAUAUGAUGAUUAUUACUUCAAGGAAAUGAUAAAGAAAUGAUCAAAAAUGUUCUUCCUUGAGCUGCGUUACCCCGCUGUAGUCCGUUAUGGACUGGCCUGAGGUCACACUACAAACAAGCGGCUGCUGGAAGAGAGUAGGUGACUUGUGUUUAGUCUCUUUGCUAAAGAAAUUAGUCAAAGUUAAAAAGAUGUUCGGUGGCUAGUACUAUGGCUGGGACCCUAUAUGUCCUGUUGAUGAAGUUAGGUGCUGUUCUGAGCAUUAUUUGUGGCUACAGAGUGGCGUUUUGGUUGAGGUUUGUUUAUGGCUUCUCAGACCGCUGUGUAUUGCUAUCCUGCGGUCGUUACUAAAGUUGGUAUAACUAGAGAAGCAAGCGGUCGGCAACAUUCAUUUCUGGAGGGGGUGUCUAACUCAGUGUUAUGGUGUGUUUGACCCUAAAUUAUUUUUACACUGGAAUAUCCCUUUAAUGAACAGAUAGACUGUCAGCUGACCUUUAAAACAGAUAUCUGUUCACACAGAAAAGUAAACUGUCAUCGGUUUACUCUUGCUGGACGUCGGGAUGUCAAUGCCGUGGAUUGUGUUCUUCACAGAGAAACCAAAGCCCGACCACUCUUUGUAUUUAAUUCAUUUUUCAUUCUUUUUUUUUUCACGUUUAAUAUUUACAUGUCGAUUAACCCUUUAGGCUCAGAGUCUAUUCCUCUUCCUGGUGUUUAUUAGACUUACCUGGAUAGUCUGUUAUUGUAAAGACUGAGUAUCUUCAGACGAUGGCGGGCUUUCUGUUUGUGGUUAUUUUGUACCAACUAGAUUUAUGCUAACUGCCCUGACAGUGUUGUAAUGUUCAGUCCAUAACACCCGAAAAGGCGUCGAAUACAAUCCUUUACAUUCAUUAGAAAAUAACUGUUUGGCCUUCAUCCCUCGGAGGGUCUUUUUCCUCCACAUGACUUUUCGUCUUCAUCGUCAAUGAGCCGUUUGUUUCUUCUUCACGCCUAAAUGCCCCUUUUGUCUUUGCUCUUAACAUCACUAUGUCUCAUUAUCAAUAACAAUGUUUUCAGGACAAUUGUUUUCCAUUAAUCCCUCGGCUCUGUGCAUUUCACUGCACACGAGCUGUUGUAGCAUCCCAUUAAAUCCACACUGAACCACCCACCUUUCAUCCUUUCAUUUCAGCUCCAGUUUUUUUUUUCCAGUCAUUUUUCACAGCUGACUCCCCCAUCUUUCACCUCUCUUUUCCCUCUCCCGCCUCGUCCUCCACGGGUUCACCUCCUCCUCUCCGUCUAAUGGAAGCUAAUGUUUGUGAUUUAUGGUUAUUUUUCCAGCAGCCGCUUUGCAGAGAAGCAGAGAAACAUUGGGCCAUAUAAAAAGUGUAAAUCCUGGAACAAUUUAACCCCUGAAAGUCUCAGACUGAACGGAGCAACCUUUCUCUGUGUUUCAUCUUUAUCUACAGUUCAGAGAUUAAUCUUGUUUGUUGUGUUGGGAGCUGGCAUUUUCUCACUUUUAUGAUAGAUCUCAGUGUGGUUAAUUAGUCUGGCGACCACUUUCAUUUCCAGCCUGAAGUCGGCUAACCUUAAUGUGCUCUGUACAGUAAUCUGAAAUUAAUGGCCAUUAUCAUUUCAGGCGUUUCAGGCUUUUAGUUAGCCACUGUGUGUCUCUCUCGGCUGGAGGUUUUUCCAUGUGUCUGUGCGUGUGUGUGUGUGUGUGUGUGUGUGUGUGUGUGUGUGUGUGUGUGUGUGUGUGUGUGUGUGUGUGUGUGUGUGUGUGAAUCAGAAAUGUGUCUAUUCCUGCAGAUGCUCCUGUGAUUCUGUGCUGAUCGAUUAUCAGGUCACAUGACCUUAAAUCACAAACUGAUGGCGUCUGUUUAUCUCCCUGUUGUUCCUGGUGGAGCUUCUCGAUGUUCCCUAAAUGUUAAUCCUGGAGCUGAGGGAGUGUUUCUGUGCCGCUUCCUCUGUCCUCAAAGGUGAUUCCAGGAUUUUAUGACCCUCAUUUUACGUCAUGUGGAAUCUAAAUGACCACAAUAAGAAGUUGCAGGACGUGUCCGAUGAAAGACACGAGGCUAAUCCUGAGUCUUGCGCACUAAUCUCACUCAGUAAAUCACAAAAAAACUAGGUUUCUUUUCAGGAGUUAACAGCUGAAUUCAGCUGACAGGAGCCUGUGUGUAGCUUGCUAAUUACAGUAAAACUGACCCCGAAUUUCCACCACAUCCUGAACGACAGUGAUUUUUGCCAUCUGCCAGUUCCUAUCAGAUACAUUUGUGAGGCAAAUUUCUUGGUGGAUUACGGACAGCAGGAAUCACGGGAACUCACAAGAACCCAUAAAGACAGCAACAUAGAUGUAUAAGCAGUAGAUUGUGUCCUUCCAGAGGAGGAAAUCUACCUUUAGACUUCUAGAAUCAGCAUCUCCUCAUCCAUGGUGUCAUCGGGGUGAAAUGACGUGUAAAAACCUUUAACUUGUUCGUCUCCAACCGUUUGCAUGCUGUGAAAUACGAUCCGCCUGAAACACAGUGUUUUAUUUUGAAAAGAAGCCAGAUGUUUUAUUUUGUGUCUGUGCCCGACUUCCUUUCCAGCAUGGGUUAAUCUGUGCUGAAUUUAUCCGGCAUGCUCCGGCAUCCGGAAAAAAUAGAAAUCUUGUGAUCAGCUAUGGAGUCCGGCAAUCCGCAGCGGAACAUAAAGAAGCCGGUGGAAAUUGACAUGUUAACUUGAAUGGUUACGAUCAGCUACGAUCGGCAGAUACAACCUUUUUGUAGCCAUUCCGGAUGCAGUGGAAACUGGGGGUUAGACUCAACAGAAACACCAGUCAUGAUCCUAUUAAAACAAAAUUAAGACCUGUUCAUUAUCAAAGAAAACUGGUUUCUCUUGAGGAGUUCAUACUGAUGAAAUAAUCUUGACUUACAGUGAAGCUGAGACUAAACAGUUAACAACAAGUAGAUAUAAAGCAAACAGAUUUUUUAUCCAGGAUGAUGACACUGAAUAAGCUCGAAAUCAGAAUUACAGCUAAACUGAGACUCUCUGAAAAUCACAAGAACAAUGUAUUUACUUAAGUUGAAAAAAGCCAGAGAGAGCAGCCUGACUGUAAUGAAACACUCACAGUGAAGCUGAGACUCACCAGAAAUCUAAAUAAGUAUGUCAUAGGUGCAAACUCAACACCAAGCUGUUACAGGUUAUUAAGAAGUAAACUGGUUUCUUAUCCAGGAUAAUGAUGCUUUAGUAAUUCAGAGUGAAGAUCCUUUUAGUUUACAGUGAAAGUGAGACUCACCAGAAGUCUGAAUCAUAAUAUAAUAUAAACCAACUUAAAACCGAAUAACCCCAAGUCAAUCACAAGAACUUUGUUUUUCAUCCAGGAUGAUGCCACUGAGAGACAGAGUAAAGUUUACAGUGAAACUGAGACUCACUUAAACUCUGGAUGAUGAUGUUGAGAUUUCAACUUGACUCUUGUUAAUCACACAAAAUCACAAGAACAUAGUUUUUUUUCCUUGAGUUCAUACUACUAAAGUACACCUAAAGGGAAGUCUGAGUGUUAUUUACUGUUUACAGUGAAACUGAGACUCACCAGAAGUCUGAGUUAUAAUACAUCAACAAACUUAAAACAAAGUAUUUCCAAGUUAAUCACAAGAACAUUAGUUCUUUAUCCAGGUUGAUGCUGCUGAAGUAGCUCAGAGUCAGAGUGUGGCCUUUGUGAAGUUUACAGUGAAACUGAGACUAACUAGAAAUCUGGAUUAUGAUCCUGAUAUUUCAGCAAAUUUAACUACUGUUAAUCACACAAAAUCACAAGAACAGUGUUUUUUUUCUUGAGUUCAUACUACUAAAAUACACCUAAAGUGAAGUCUGAGUGUUAUUUACUGUUUACUGUAAAACUGAGACUCCACAGGGGAUGUGAUAGAUAAUAAAGUGGUAAUAAAGUGGUAGUGUUUAUAUUUUACAGGCAUAGCUGGAGGACUGAAUAAUAAUUGGAUAGUUAAUGACUGAAAAGGAGGUCUUUAAAGUUUGUAUUGCUUGAAAGUGUUGUGUGGUUACUGAGUUUUUUAAGUUUUUCUCAGAUAGAAAUCAGUUUUCAGAGUUUCUCUGUGUGAAUUCUGGUCUUCACAGCUGAGAAAGUGGAACAGUGAUGCUUGGCAGAGGUGGUGUGAAGGGUUUUCUCUUGUCAAGACUGUAGUUUCAUGUCCUGGACACCCACAUCAUAAGAUCGAGGGAUGUGCAAACACCUCCUUGAAGACACGGUACAAACUUUUUGUGAUUUACUCCUCCAUGUUAGGACUGCAGAGGCUUUUUAUGCAUUGUGUUCAUGCACAAGCUUUGUACUGAACGUGUGCAUACAUAGCCCGAUCCAGAGAGCACCACUUUAAGUGCUGAGGAUGUUGCACCAUGUUCCAGUCCUGCGUACCUGGUCUUAAAGUCUUCAAUCGUAGCUCGUUUGUCUUGUUGGAUGUGCAAAGAUAACACAUGAAUGUGUAAACCAUGUUUUAUGACUGCUUCUAUGUCUUCUAUUUCUGUCUAAACUGGAGGUAGACAGGAUGAUGCAAAGCGCCAAGUAUGGCUGAAAAAGAGGGAAAGAGUCAGAGUCCAGAGUGGAUAUAAAUGAGCUGCUGAAGAUGAGAUCAUUUUUAUUUAAAAAGAACAAGGUUAAACUGCUGCUCUUUUCUGUGAUCAAAACUUUUUCAGGAAAAAAUCAGUGGACCUGCUCUGACGCCUCAUGGGAUGGGAAGCGUUAACAAGGUUUUGUUCAUCAAACCUGUUUGUUAAAUGACAUUUCAGAAAGCUCCAAAGAGCCAAUUUGAGCAUGAAAAAGUUCAAAAAUUAAAGCACAUUAAUCAAGGAGUCACUCUUUCUGAUGGUGAAGUGUAGGAGCACCUGUAAUACGAGCCCCCCCGGGGAUUACAUGAUGAAUUACAUGUCUGAUCUGAGCGAGGAUAACCAAUUACACGCAGAUUUAACCCACACCUGCACCAGUGUGCAUGCAUUCAAUGCAUCUUUACUGUGUCAUUAAACCUAGAUCUCACAGUUAAAGAAGUCAACGCUAUCUCAUCUGUAAUCUCUUUAUGCUUUAGAAUAAACUUUGCAUGAAUUUACAUUUUAAUUUUUACGCCAGAAAUAAAACUUAAAGAGAGACGCAACUGGAUCAUGGACUACAAGGACACGAACCCAGGACUGCAGGGACACUGUUGACUAAUAGUCAUGUCAUUCCUGAUCUUUAUGCAAAAGAAGGCCUCUUCAGUCUUCAUUAAAGGGAUAUUUCGGUAUUUUUGGAGUACGGUCACAAGUUCGUGUUCGAGCCAGAGUCGUACUGUGUGUUUGCAACUGAAAAAAAGAACGAUGGUCUGUCUGGUGGAAAAUUUCUCAGGAGAGUAAAAGUUUGUUAUGGAAGCGUAUUGCAUUCAACAAAAACAUAAAAAUAAAUAAAAGCUCUGUUUUUCAGACUUUUUUUUCAGACUAAUUUUCUGUUUUUCAGACUGUUUUUUGUGUGUUUUUCAGGGGGGGGUUUUGUUUUGUUUUUCAGACUAAUUUUUUUUCUGUUUUUCAGCCUUUUUGUUUUGUUUUUCAGACUAAUUUUUCGAAAGGAACAAAAAAAAACUGAAGAAAAAAAGUUACAAAAACAGAAAGAAGAAAAAAAUUAAUCUAAAAAGAGUAAAAAAAAUAAUCUCAGCAGAGUAAAAAAAAUACUCAAAAAAGUUUCCUUUUUUUUUUUCUUUAGGAAGUGAAUGCAGUACUGUUCCGCAGUUUGUGUCAGGAAAUCUGAAAAUUUACUGAAUCAGAGUCUACAGAAAACUGUAGCCUAGUCCAAAUGCUGGACCUCGUGGCGGUUUCUCAUUAAAGGGGUGGAGCUGAGCUGAGCGACUUCUAUCGUAGCUUAAACACUAAAGACACUCGGGGACAACCUCACUUCAAAAAUACUGAAAUACUCAAACGCAGCAUUCACUUUACUUUAGAUUUCCCACAUAUAAAAACAAAAAUAUGAGAAUAAAGUCACCAGAAAACAAUUUACAAAGCUACAAACUGAAACAUCAAAUUAAACUUCAGAGAGCUCUUCAGUCUCCUUCAUCCAGGGGGAGCUCAAGUUUAGAGUCCAGUUUAAUUAAAACCUUUAUCGUUUAUUUUGUGUUUUUGUUUAUCAGUCUGCUGUGUAAAUGAUUCAGAUGUCAAGGUGAUGGCUCAGCCUGUCGUGACUCUGUCGUGUCCCUCACUCUGUGAACCUCUGCUCUGGUGUUUGUGCAGAGAUUCAGAGGACUUAAAGCAUGUUAAAAAUGUCAAAUAUACUCAUCCUGUGAAAGAGGAAAGUAUUGUAUCCCUGCAUUGCCCUGGAAACUGUGACUACCAUCACAAACAUGACUAAGAUGCUGCUGAACCAAGUAAACACAACAUGAAGUUGUUUGAGAGGAAGGCAUUGUGGACUUUUUAAAAAAAAGGUUGUAAAAUGAUGAUUAUCUUCUCUUUUAAAGGACAAAGUCUGGAAAUAGUGCGAAAUUCUGUGCCAGAAAUAAAUCUGUCAUUUUUAACACGAGCGAUAGAGAGAGCGCUCUUUCAUUGUGUGUGAAGAUUUAAGACAAACGCAAACGCAGCAUGAAAAGCGGCGAGCACAGCCUUCGGUCAGCCAGCUUUCAGCCUAAGAGAGCUUUGCUGUUUCACAAACUGCCAAAGUGGCUUUAAGGCAGCGUGUUGGUGCAGCUCUGUAAACGCUGAUAGCAGUCGUCAGAGGAGAGCGUUUCCUUCAGGCGUUUAGCUGAGGGCAGGUUGUCACACAGCAUGACCCUGAGGAGGAGGAGGAGGAGGAGAAGGGUAUGAUGGAGGCCGGUGAGGAAAACAUCAUCUGGUGAGGAAAAGUGUCUUCAGAUGUGAUCAGCUCCUGCUCUGAGAGGAUAAUGAAAUCCUCUGUGCAAAGAGAGAAGAAAGAGGACAGAGUGAAGGGGAGGUGGAAAAUUGUUUUCUCAGGUCAGAGGAUUGGAUUUGAAAAGAGUCAAAGAUUGAUGUCACACGUGAAACCGAUGAGGAGAGGAUGAAGAGGUAGAGAAGAGAAACCCAAAGCCUGUCAGCGGCGGGGACAUAAUAACAGAGAAGAUCUCUCUCUUUUCUGUCUGUGCUUCUCUGCAGGGAUGAGAUUGUCAGCAGAACAAACAGGUACACUGAGUGAGUGCAGAUGGUCCACCUCAACCACCACAUGUCCUCCGUCCUCCCACCACACCGACACAACGCCAAACCAUCCCACAGGACAGGUGCUGCCAUCUUGUGUGUUUGAAGACGGUCUCUAAUAAGGGCAGCUGGUGAGCGGGGAUCACUCUGUCAAUGAAAAUGUUGGCGUGAAAGAUCAGCUCAUUCUCCUUCAUGAGCGAAUCUGUGUGCUGGUUCAAGCUCUGACUGCCUCUGUUCUUCUUCAGUCUUUGUGAAGCGUCAGGUUUGGCGAUUUGGAGGCCGCCCUCUUGGUUUGUUGGCGUGUUUGAGGAGAUGGAGAAGCUGCAGAG